GACGAACGCUGGCGGCGUGCUUAACACAUGCAAGUCGAGCGGUAAGGCCCUUUCGGGGGUACACGAGCGGCGAACGGGUGAGUAACACGUGGGUGACCUGCCCUCAGCUCUGGGAUAAGCCUGGGAAACCGGGUCUAAUACCGGAUAUGACUCCAUGACGCAUGUUGUGGGGUGGAAAGCCUUGUGCGGCUGAGGAUGGGCCCGCGGCCUAUCAGCUUGUUGGUGGGGUGAGGCCUACCAAGGCGACGACGGUAGCCGGCCUGAGAGGGCGACCGGCCACACUGGGACUGAGACACGGCCCAGACUCCUACGGGAGGCAGC
Molecule: ribosomal RNA, 321 nt
Filed under: uncultured bacterium
Lineage: Bacteria
Description: bacterial SSU rRNA
Rfam family: Bacterial small subunit ribosomal RNA
Source: RNAcentral